GUAAGUAUCUGGCAGGGGAAAUACCAUGAUCACGAAGGUGAUUUUCCCAGGGUGAGGUUUAACGAUUAUACUUCAAAUGUACUGACCUCUGCAGUUUCCCCUAAGGUGAGAAAUUUGGCUGCAUAAUUUGUGGGAGUGUGGGACUGCCUUUGCACUUUUCCGAA
Molecule: small nuclear RNA, 164 nt
Organism: Tupaia belangeri (northern tree shrew)
Lineage: Eukaryota; Metazoa; Chordata; Mammalia; Scandentia; Tupaiidae
Gene: U1
Rfam family: U1 spliceosomal RNA
About the family: U1 is a small nuclear RNA (snRNA) component of the spliceosome (involved in pre-mRNA splicing). Its 5' end forms complementary base pairs with the 5' splice junction, thus defining the 5' donor site of an intron.
Source: Ensembl